This is a long non-coding RNA of Eriocheir sinensis (Chinese mitten crab), 952 nucleotides long. RefSeq lists it as uncharacterized. The record is from RefSeq and is a predicted model, not a curated record. The transcript has 3 exons. Lineage: Eukaryota; Metazoa; Arthropoda; Malacostraca; Decapoda; Varunidae.
GGUCAUAAAACUAAUCCCGGAAAUGCCCAAAACUCCUAUGAAAGCCUAGUCAAAUAUGUGUUUCUUUAGGUUCAUGGUACAGAGGAAGGGUCACACUACCACCAGGGUCAUAAAACUACCCCUGGAAAUGCCCACAACUCCUAUGAAAGCCUUGUCAAAUGUGUGUUUCUUUAGGUUCAUGGUACAGAGGAAGGGUCACACUACCACCAGGGUCAUGAAACUAACCCCGGAAAUGCCCACAACUCCUAUGAAAGCCUUGUCAAAUGUGUGUUUCUUUAGGUUCAUGGUACAGAGGAAGGGUCACACUACCACCAGGGUCAUGAAACUACCCCUGGAAAUGCCCACAACUCCUAUGAAAGCCUUGUCAAAUACGUGUUUCUUUAGGUUCAUGGUACAGAGGAAGGGUCACACUACCACCAGGGUCAUAAAACUACCCCUGGAAAUGCCCACAACUCCUAUGAAAGCCUUGUCAAAUAUGUGUUUCUUUAGGUUCACGGUACAGAGGAAGGGUCACACUACCACCAGGGUCAUAAAACUACUCCUGGAAAUGCCCACAACUCCUAUGAAAGCCUUGUCAAAUGUGUGUUUCUUUAGGUUCAUGGUACAGAGGAAGGGUCACACUACCACCAGGGUCAUAAAACUACCCCUGGAAAUGCCCAAAACUCCUAUGAAAGCCUUGUCAAAUGUGUGUUUCUUUAGGUUCACGGUACAGAGGAAGGGUCACACUACCACCAGGGUCAUAAAACUACCCCUGGAAAUGCCCACAACUCCUAUGAAAGCCUUGUCAAAUGUGUGUUUCUUUAGGUUCACGGUACAGAGGAAGGGUCACACUACCACCAGGGUCAUAAAACUACCCCUGGAAAUGCCCACAACUCCUAUGAAAGCUUUGUCAAAUAUGUACUUGACCGACGAAAUGUUUAGUAAUGCGACCUUAAUGAUCCUCCUCCUCCUC